This 553-nucleotide ribosomal RNA is filed under the name uncultured archaeon. RNAcentral's name for it is "bacterial SSU rRNA". It matches the Rfam family "Archaeal small subunit ribosomal RNA", at positions 325 to 879 of the family's 1478-position model. The record is from RNAcentral.
ACGGGGUGCAGCAGGCGCGAAAACUUCGCACUGUGCGAAAGCACGACGAGGGAAUCCCAAGUGCUGGCUCGUAAGAGUCAGCUGUUUCUCUGUCUAAAAAACAGAGAGAGUAAGGGCUGGGUAAGACGGGUGCCAGCCGCCGCGGUAAUACCUGCAGCUCAAGUGGUGGCCGCUAUUAUUGGGCCUAAAACGUCCGUAGCCGGUUUCAUAAAUGCCUGGGUAAAUCGUACGGCUUAACCGUACGAAUUCCGGGUAGACUGUUUAACUUGAGACCGGGAGAGGCUAGAGGUACUCCUGGGGUAGAGGUGAAAUUCUGUAAUCCUAGGGGGACCACCAGUGGCGAAGGCGUCUAGCUAGAACGGGUCUGACGGUGAGGGACGAAGCCCUGGGGAGCAAACGGGAUUAGAUACCCCGGUAGUCCAGGGUGUAAACGCUGCUCGCUUGAUGUUAGUCGGGCUCCGAGCCCAACUAGUGUCGGAGAGAAGUUGUUAAGCGAGCUGCCUGGGGAGUACGGUCGUAAGACUGAAACUUAAAGGAAUUGGCGGGGGAGCAC